AAUUGGGAUGAUGAGAAUGUUCCCUUAGGUGGGGGCUAGAGGCCGUUUUGGUCCCAGUUACUGCACCCACCGGUGAUAGGAUCUGUCAUAGUUACACUGACCAUAU
RNAcentral lists this small nucleolar RNA (106 nucleotides) under Pelusios castaneus (West African mud turtle). RNAcentral's name for it is "Small nucleolar RNA SNORD46 (ENSPCEG00000017811.1)". It matches the Rfam family "Small nucleolar RNA SNORD46". Rfam says of the family: U40 is a C/D box small nucleolar RNA, also known as snoZ153 in plants. Lineage: Eukaryota; Metazoa; Chordata; Testudines; Pelomedusidae. The record is from Rfam by way of RNAcentral.